RNAcentral lists this transfer RNA (73 nucleotides) under Streptococcaceae bacterium. RNAcentral's name for it is "tRNA-Lys". It matches the Rfam family "tRNA". Rfam says of the family: Transfer RNA (tRNA) molecules are approximately 80 nucleotides in length. Their secondary structure includes four short double-helical elements and three loops (D, anti-codon, and T loops). The record is from RNAcentral. Lineage: Bacteria; Bacillati; Bacillota; Bacilli; Lactobacillales; Streptococcaceae.
GCCUCCUUAGCUCAGUUGGUAGAGCAGUGGACUCUUAAUCCAUGGGUCGAAGGUUCGAGUCCUUCAGGGGGCA